Molecule: small RNA, 532 nt
Filed under: Histoplasma ohiense
Lineage: Eukaryota; Fungi; Ascomycota; Eurotiomycetes; Onygenales; Ajellomycetaceae
Description: hypothetical lncRNA
Source: RNAcentral
CAGCGAUAACGAUGGGGUGGCGGACGACAUUGCGAUGGAUGAUAUUAGUGAGGAGAGCUAAGUCAAGAAAGCCCUUCGCCUCAGUGAGUCUCUGCGAUGCGAGACUCCUCCGCGUUUUGAAGGAGGUUGAAAAGGGGUAAAAUAUAUUGAGGGGACCAUUGGACUUGACAACGGUAAUUUAUUUCUCUGCGCUUUUUUUUUUUUUUUUUGCGUAGUAUAAUCUCUAUAUCCGCCAUUGAAUUUGCCAGUUUAAAGUUUGUCCAUCCAACACAGCGAAGGGUUCUAGAAAUUUAUCCCCGGAUGUCCUGAGCGAGUCUGGGUCCUUGUAAACUCCAAAACGGAUGUUUCGGCACCUGAUAUAACCUAGAAACAUAUAUUCCUCAAUCAUGCUCGUUGGAAUUUCAUACUCGUAGAUGCCUUCGGAACAGUAUUCCCCAAAUCCACAUAAUUAAUAUUCUAUCCGCGUAUUCAAUUAGCUUUUAUCUACCAAAAUAUAUAUUCACACACUCGUAUAUAUUUACAGGAAAUAUUU